CCUACGGGAGGCAGCAGUGGGGAAUAUUGCACAAUGGGGGAAACCCUGAUGCAGCGACGCCGCGUGAGUGAAGAAGUAAUUCGUUAUGUAAAGCUCUAUCAGCAGGGAAGAAAAUGACGGUACCUGAGGAAGAAGCCACGGCUAACUACGUGCCAGCAGCCGCGGCAAUACGUAGGGGGCAAGCGUUAUCCGGAUUUACUGGGUGUAAAGGGAGCGUAGACGGCAGUGCAAGUCUGGAGUGAAAGGCGGGGGCUCAACCCGCGGACUGCUCUGGAAACUGUACGGCUGGAGUGCAGGAGAGGUAAGUGGAAUUCCUAGUGUAGCGGUGAAAUGCGUAGAUAUUAGGAGGAACACCAGUGGCGAAGGCGGCUUACUGGACUGUAACUGACGUUGAGGCUCGAAAGCGUGGGGAGCAAACAGGAUUAGAUACCCCUGUAGUC
This 440-nucleotide ribosomal RNA is filed under the name uncultured bacterium. RNAcentral describes it as "partial 16S ribosomal RNA". It matches the Rfam family "Bacterial small subunit ribosomal RNA", at positions 338 to 795 of the family's 1533-position model. The record is from RNAcentral.